UGGCGGCGCGUCUUAAACAUGCAAGUCAAGCGGAGUAGUAAUACUCAGCGGCGAACGGGUGAGUAACACGUGGGUAAUCUUCCUCCGAGUCUGGAAUAACUUUCCGAAAGGGAGGCUAAUACUGGAUAGUCCCGGGAGAUCAUAGGAAUUUUCGGGUAAAGAUUUAUUGCUCGGAGAUGGGCCCGCGUCCGAUUAGCUAGUUGGUAAGGUAAGGGCUUACCAAGGCGACGAUCGGUAGUCGGCCUGAGAGGGUGUUCGGCCACAAUGGAACUGAGACACGGUCCAUACUCCUACGGGAGGCAGCAGUUAAGAC
Molecule: ribosomal RNA, 313 nt
Filed under: uncultured Leptospira sp.
Lineage: Bacteria; Pseudomonadati; Spirochaetota; Leptospiria; Leptospirales; Leptospiraceae
Description: bacterial SSU rRNA
Rfam family: Bacterial small subunit ribosomal RNA
Source: RNAcentral